This 519-nucleotide ribosomal RNA is filed under the name uncultured eukaryote. Its description in RNAcentral is "bacterial SSU rRNA". It matches the Rfam family "Eukaryotic small subunit ribosomal RNA", at positions 1161 to 1637 of the family's 1831-position model. The record is from RNAcentral.
AGGGCACCACCAGGAGUGGAGCCUGCGGCUUAAUUUGACUCAACACGGGAAAACUCACCCGGCCCGGACACUGGAAGGAUUGACAGAUUGAGAGCUCUUUCUUGAUUCAGUGGGUGGUGGUGCAUGGCCGUUCUUAGUUGGUGGAGCGAUUUGUCUGGUUAAUUCCGAUAACGAACGAGACUCUAGCCUACUAAAUAGACUGUUCAGCUUUAUAGCCGGAAUCACUGGGCGUGUAGCUCUCCGCAAGGGGGGUUGCAUGUUCGGCUCUGGUGACGUUGGCAGUGCUUCUUAGAGGGACAGGCGGCGGUUCAGCCGCACGAAACAGAGCAAUAACAGGUCUGUGAUGCCCUUAGAUGUCCGGGGCUGCACGCGCGCUACACUGAAGUGAUCAGCGUGCAAUUUACGUUUGGUGAUCUGUCAAGAUUGCCCAACCCGUUGAACCUUCUUCGUGAUUGGGAUAGGGGAUUGUAAUUAUUCCCCUUGAACGAGGAAUUCCCAGUAAGCGCAAGUCAUAAGCUU